AGAGGAAGUAAAAGUCGUAACAAGGUUUCCGUAGGUGAACCUGCGGAAGGAUCAUUAUCGAGUUUUGAACGGGUUGUCUGCUGGCUCGCGAGAGCAUGUGCACGCCUGUCUUCAUCCACUCUCAACUUCUGUGCACUUUUCAUAGGCCGGCUUGUGGGUGCGCGUUCGCGUGCGUCUGUAGGUCUGGUUUAUGCUUUACUACAAACGAAUCAGUUUUAGAAUGUCAUACUUUGCUAUAACGCAAUUAUAUACAACUUUCAGCAACGGAUCUCUUGGCUCUCGCAUCGAUGAAGAACGCAGCGAAAUGCGAUAAGUAAUGUGAAUUGCAGAAUUCAGUGAAUCAUCGAAUCUUUGAACGCACCUUGCGCUCCUUGGUAUUCCGAGGAGCAUGCCUGUUUGAGUCUCAUGGAAUUCUCAACCUUCGACUUUGUUGUCGGAGGCUUGGACUUGGAGGUCGUGUCGGCUCUCGUAGUCGACUCCUCUGAAAUGCAUUAGUGCGAACGUUACCAGCCGCUUCAGCGUGAUAAUUAUCUGCGUUGCUGUGGAGGGUAUGCUAGUGUUCGCGCUUCUAACCGUCUUCGGACAACAUUUCUAGACUCUGAGCUCAA
Molecule: ribosomal RNA, 608 nt
Filed under: Bjerkandera fumosa
Lineage: Eukaryota; Fungi; Basidiomycota; Agaricomycetes; Polyporales; Phanerochaetaceae
Description: eukaryotic LSU rRNA
Rfam family: 5.8S ribosomal RNA (bases 253-406)
Source: RNAcentral